CAGUCGCCACGGUAAUACGAAGGGGGCUAGCGUUGUUCGGAAUCACUGGGCGUAAAGGGUGCGUAGGCGGGAUCUUAAGUCAGGGGUGAAAUCCCGAGGCUCAACCUCGGAACUGCCUUUGAUACUGGGGUCCUUGAGUCCGGAAGAGGUGAGUGGAACUGCGAGUGUAGAGGUGAAAUUCGUAGAUAUUCGCAAGAACACCGGUGGCGAAGGCGGCUCACUGGUCCGGAACUGACGCUGAGGCACGACAGCGUGGGGAGCAAACAGGAUUAGAUACCCCCGUAGUCCCUGUCUCUUAUAA
RNAcentral lists this ribosomal RNA (301 nucleotides) under uncultured bacterium. RNAcentral describes it as "partial 16S ribosomal RNA". It matches the Rfam family "Bacterial small subunit ribosomal RNA", at positions 509 to 809 of the family's 1533-position model. The record is from RNAcentral.